UACGUAGGGUGCGAGCGUUAAUCGGAAUUACUGGGCGUAAAGCGUGCGCAGGCGGAUGUUUAAGCAAGAUGUGAAAUCCCCGGGCUUAACCUGGGAACUGCAUUUUGAACUGGGCAUCUAGAGUGCGUCAGAGGGGGGUGGAAUUCCACGUGUAGCAGUGAAAUGCGUAGAGAUGUGGAGGAACACCGAUGGCGAAGGCAGCCCCCUGGGAUGACACUGACGCUCAUGCACGAAAGCGUGGGGAGCAAACAGGAUUAGAUACCCUGGUAGUCCACGCCCUAAACGAUGUCAACGGGCUGUCGGGUGCGCAAGUACUUGGUAGCGAAGCUAACGCGUGAAGUUGACCGCCUGGGGAGUACGGCCGCAAGGUUGAA
This 374-nucleotide ribosomal RNA is filed under the name uncultured bacterium. RNAcentral's name for it is "bacterial SSU rRNA". It matches the Rfam family "Bacterial small subunit ribosomal RNA", at positions 524 to 898 of the family's 1533-position model. The record is from RNAcentral.